This 484-nucleotide ribosomal RNA is filed under the name uncultured bacterium. RNAcentral describes it as "partial 16S ribosomal RNA". It matches the Rfam family "Bacterial small subunit ribosomal RNA", at positions 29 to 507 of the family's 1533-position model. The record is from RNAcentral.
AUUGAACGCUGGCGGCAUGCUUUACACAUGCGAGUCGGACGGCAGCGCGGGCUUCGGCCUGGCGGCGAGUGGCGAACGGGUGAGUAAUACAUCGGAACGUGCCCAGUAGUGGGGGAUAGCUCGGCGAAAGCCGGAUUAAUACCGCAUACGACCUGAGGGUGAAAGCGGGGGACUUUAGGGCCUCGCGCUAUUGGAGCGGCCGAUGGCAGAUUAGCUAGUUGGUGGGGUAAAGGCCUACCAAGGCGACGAUCUGUAGCUGGUCUGAGAGGACGACCAGCCACACUGGGACUGAGACACGGCCCAGACUCCUACGGGAGGCAGCAGUGGGGAAUUUUGGACAAUGGGCGCAAGCCUGAUCCAGCAAUGCCGCGUGUGUGAUGAAGGCCUUCGGGUUGUAAAGCACUUUUGGCAGGAACGAAAAGUGCCGUGCUAAUACCACGGUACGAUGACGGUACCUGCAGAAUAAGCACCGGCUAACUACGUG